Molecule: ribosomal RNA, 426 nt
Filed under: uncultured Hassallia sp.
Lineage: Bacteria; Bacillati; Cyanobacteriota; Cyanophyceae; Nostocales; Tolypothrichaceae
Description: bacterial SSU rRNA
Rfam family: Bacterial small subunit ribosomal RNA
Source: RNAcentral
UGUGGAUUUUUCCGCAAUGGGCGAAAGCCUGACGGAGCAAUACCGCGUGAGGGAGGAAGGCUCUUGGGUUGUAAACCUCUUUUCUCAGGGAAGAAAAAAAUGACGGUACCUGAGGAAUAAGCAUCGGCUAACUCCGUGCCAGCAGCCGCGGUAAUACGGAGGAUGCAAGCGUUAUCCGGAAUGAUUGGGCGUAAAGCGUCCGCAGGUGGCUGUGUAAGUCUGCUGUUAAAGAGUCUGGCUCAACCAGAUAAAGGCAGUGGAAACUACACGGCUAGAGUGCGUUCGGGGCAGAGGGAAUUCCUGGUGUAGCGGUGAAAUGCGUAGAGAUCAGGAAGAACACCGGUGGCGAAAGCGCUCUGCUAGGCCGCAACUGACACUGAGGGACGAAAGCUAGGGGAGCGAAUGGGAUUAGAUACCCCAGUAGUC